Non-coding RNA from Cinara cedri, 1109 nucleotides. Lineage: Eukaryota; Metazoa; Arthropoda; Insecta; Hemiptera; Aphididae. The record is from the annotation of a GenBank genome assembly.
CAAAGACACAACGUACUUAUUUACGUAGCAGUCUAUAACGACUAACAAACAUAUUGAAAGAUCUUGGCUUUCCCGGUAGAAAAUAAUUCUCAAGCGUAUUUACCUACAUGAAGAUAAAGGAAUACAAUACAUUUAUCUAGAUAAAGAUAAAUAAUAAUUUCUCCAAAAUUAUUGAGUAGACAUUUAAAUUACGUAGGUAUUUCAGAUAAAAUAUUAAAAUAAUAGUUGAGGCCUCAAGUGAGAUGUUGACCUGUUGCUCUCAGCGGUUGUUUUCGAAAUUUAAAAAAUAUACCAGUUGCCCUCAAUCAAAAAUAUGCCAGUUGUCGUCCUAAAUCAAAUUUUCCAGUUGCCCUCGCUGUAUAAAAUAGCGCGUGUGUAGUACAAUUUUACCAAAACGAGGCAUUUUAGACAACAGAGAAAACUGUAGUUUACGAUAAAUAAUGACAAGUAAUGUUUCUCUGUAGUCAAUAUGUAGGUAUCUAAGAUAGGUUAGGUUACAACUUAUGAUAUUGGUAACAACAAUGAAUUAGACAAUAUCGCACUACGUGUGUUAUUAUCAUUGAAAAUAUCGUGUUUAAUAUUUUUUAUCGUAUGUAUUUGCUUUAAGAAUUUACCAACCCUAUUUUAAGACGGUGUAUAUGAUAUAUUGAAGGCAACUGGUGUAUUUUACUCUAGGUGUUUUGGGAAGACUCGGUAUAAAAAAAGAUACUUGAUCUUUUGGGAUUGCACACGAUCGGGUAAACAUGCAAUACGCGGUUAACUCUCUUGCCUCCUAGAGUGGUCUGAUUUUCAAAAGUUAUAAUUAAUUUAAAUACAAUCAAUCACUACACGUUUAUAAAAUAAGGUUUCCUACCAUGUAAGAACAAGAGAGAAAUUGUAAAAACAAUGUCAACACUACUAUAAUAAUUAAUUUUUAAGUUUUUUAUUUGGUAACAUAAUUAAAAAAUCGAAGUCCAAUUUGACUUGAGGCUCUAUAGGAGAUUUACCACUUUUUCACGAAAAAAAAUAACAAACACAACAUCGAACGUCUCUACGAGGCAGGAGAGUUAACUAACCCAAGUAUGUUUUGAGUAAAAAAAUAGGAUAUACGCACUACACAAACACCUAAA